UUGAACGCUGGCGGCAUGCCUUACACAUGCAAGUCGAACGGUAACAGGUCUUCGGAUGCUGACGAGUGGCGAACGGGUGAGUAAUACAUCGGAACGUGCCCGAGAGUGGGGGAUAACGGAGCGAAAGCUUUGCUAAUACCGCAUACGAUCUACGGAUGAAAGCAGGGGACCGCAAGGCCUUGCGCUCAUGGAGCGGCCGAUGGCAGAUUAGGUAGUUGGUGGGAUAAAAGCUUACCAAGCCGACGAUCUGUAGCUGGUCUGAGAGGACGACCAGCCACACUGGGACUGAGACACGGCCCAGACUCCUACGGGAGGCAGCAGUGGGGAAUUUUGGACAAUGGGCGCAAGCCUGAUCCAGCCAUACCGCGUGAGUGAAGAAGGCCUUCGGGUUGUAAAGCUCUUUCAGCCGGAAAGAAAUCGUGCAGAUUAACACUCUGUAUGGAUGACGGUACCGGAAGAAGAAGCACCGGCUAACUACGU
Molecule: ribosomal RNA, 480 nt
Filed under: uncultured bacterium
Lineage: Bacteria
Description: partial 16S ribosomal RNA
Rfam family: Bacterial small subunit ribosomal RNA
Source: RNAcentral